CCUUUGCCGGCGACCGGCGCACGGGUGAGUAACACGUAUGCAACCUGCCCUCUUCAGGGGGACAACCUUCCGAAAGGGAGGCUAAUCCCGCGUAUAUCGGUUUCGGGCAUCCGAGAUCGAGGAAAGAUUCAUCGGAAGAGGAUGGGCAUGCGGCGCAUUAGCUAGACGGCGGGGUAACGGCCCACCGUGGCGACGAUGCGUAGGGGUUCUGAGAGGAAGGUCCCCCACACUGGUACUGAGACACGGACCAGACUCCUACGGGAGGCAGCAG
Molecule: ribosomal RNA, 271 nt
Filed under: uncultured bacterium
Lineage: Bacteria
Description: partial 16S ribosomal RNA
Rfam family: Bacterial small subunit ribosomal RNA
Source: RNAcentral